AGAAUUUGAUCCUGGUUCAGGAUGAACGCUGGCGGCGUGCCUUAGGCAUGCAAGUCGAACGGGGUCCGCAAGGACCAAGUGGCAGACGGGUGAGUAACGCGUAGGAAUCUACCUCUGGGUGGAACAUAGCUGUCCGAAAGGAUAGGUAAUUUUCCAUAGUCAAUUUAUUGUAAAGCACUUAACUGUGCGCCAAGAGAUGAGCCUGCGUCCUAUCAGCUUGUUGGUGGGGUAAUGGCCUACCAAGGCAAUGACGGGUAGCUGGACUGAGAGGUCGAUCAGCCACAACUGCACUGAGACACGGGCAGUACACCUACGGGUGGCAGCAACUAGGAAUAUUCGGCAAUGGGCGAAAGCCUGACCGAGCGACGCCGCGUGGAGGAUGAAGGCCUUAGGGUUGUAAACUCCUUUUGAUAGUCCUUUCACGGACUAUAGAAUAAGCCUCUACUAACUACGUGCCAGAAGUCUCGGUAAUACGUAGGAGGCAAGCGUUAUCCGGAUUCAUUGGGCGUAAAGUGUGCGUAGGCUCAUUGGCAAGUCGUAUUUUAAAGACUAAGGCUUAACCUUGGAAGUGGAUACGAAACUGCUAAUGUUGAGGAUUGUUAGGGAUGCUGGAACAGUUAAUGUAGCAGUGAAAUGCGUUGAUAUUAACUGGAACACCAAAGGCGAAGGCAAGCAUCUGGGAUUUUCCUGACGCUGAGGCACGAAAGCCAGGGGAGCGAAACAGAUUAGAUACCUGUGUAGUCCUGGCCGUAAACGAUGUCCGCUAGCUGUGCCAGCUUACUGGCGCGGUGUAAGCUAACGCGUUAAGCGGACCGCCUGGGGAGUACGGCCGCAAGGCUAAAACUCAAAGGAAUUGACGGGGUCCCGCACAACCGGUGGAGCGUGUGGUUCAAUUCGAGACAAAACGAAAAACCUCACCAGGGUUUGACAUGUAAUCGUUU
RNAcentral lists this ribosomal RNA (941 nucleotides) under groundwater metagenome. RNAcentral's name for it is "bacterial SSU rRNA". It matches the Rfam family "Bacterial small subunit ribosomal RNA", at positions 8 to 997 of the family's 1533-position model. The record is from RNAcentral.